This is a small nucleolar RNA of 107 nucleotides. Its record names the gene SNORA70. It matches the Rfam family "Small nucleolar RNA SNORA70". From Rfam's summary of the family: snoRNA U70 seems to be exclusive to mammals and is a member of the H/ACA class of snoRNA which contain H (ANANNA) and ACA box motifs. The record is from Ensembl.
CUGCAGCCAAAUAAGCCCUGUGUGCAGUGGCUGUGAACGGCAGCCUCCUAGGUGGUGUCUGCAGCCUGUACCCAGUACAGGUUGCCUUAGGGACCGUGGAGACAGCC